GUGCUCGCUUCGGCAGCACAUAUACUAAAAUUGUAACAGAGAAGAUUAGCAUGGCCCCUGUGCAAGGAUGACACGCAAAUUUGUGAAGCAUUCCAUAUUUUU
Dama dama (fallow deer) is the source of this 102-nucleotide small nuclear RNA. The record is from RefSeq and is a predicted model, not a curated record. Lineage: Eukaryota; Metazoa; Chordata; Mammalia; Artiodactyla; Cervidae.